Molecule: ribosomal RNA, 508 nt
Filed under: uncultured bacterium
Lineage: Bacteria
Description: partial 16S ribosomal RNA
Rfam family: Bacterial small subunit ribosomal RNA
Source: RNAcentral
AUUGAACGCUGGCGGCAGGCCUAACACAUGCAAGUCGAGCGGCAGCGGGAAAGUAGCUUGCUACUUUUGCCGGCGAGCGGCGGACGGGUGAGUAAUGCCUGGGAAAUUGCCCAGUCGAGGGGGUUAACAGUUGGAAACGACUGCUAAUACCGCAUACGCCCUACGGGGGAAAGCAGGGGACCUUCGGGCCUUGCGCGUUUGGAUAUGCCCAGGUGGGAUUAGCUAGUUGGUGAGGUAAUGGCUCACCAAGGCGACGAUCCCUAGCUGGUCUGAGAGGAGGAUCAGCCACACGGGAACUGAGACACGGUCCAGACUCCUACGGGAGGCAGCAGUGGGGAAUAUUGCACAAUGGGGGAAACCCUGAUUCAGCCAUGCCGCGUGUGUGAAGAAGGCCUUCGGGUUGUAAAGCACUUUCAGCGAGGAGGAAAGGUCAGUAGCUAAUAUCUGCUGACUGUGACGUUACUCGCAGAAGAAGCACCGGCUAACUCCGUGCCAGCCGCCGCCGUAA